Molecule: long non-coding RNA, 2251 nt
Filed under: Hordeum vulgare
Lineage: Eukaryota; Viridiplantae; Streptophyta; Magnoliopsida; Poales; Poaceae
Description: long non-coding RNA (HVUL_LNC007111)
Source: RNAcentral
UCUAAGGAAAAAAAAACUUCCACACCGUCCCUGCCGCAUUAUUCUUUCUCUCUCUCCAUGGAUUGUGCACCUGGUCGUGAAAGUCCAUUAACAAGCGAUUUGCAUCCAAAAAAUAUCAUAAUAGCUAUAUAAGCAGCAUUGCAGAUCGGUUGCAGAAGAAGAGCAUGGUGUUGACUGGGACGAGGCUCCAUUGAUGUGCUGAGGGGUGCCAUGCCACGAGCGAAUCGCGAGUACUGGCCGACGGUAACUUUUCUUUUACAGAAUCUGCAUCCCGUAGCUGUUCUAGAUGUGUCAAAGGUAAUUGUUUGAAGCAGGUUUGAUCUAUCCCGUCCGUAUUAAGUAAGUCCGAGGAUUGGAUAUGACUUCCAGCGUGCUUCCGGUUUUGGUAGUGCAAAUUCAUGACUUCGCCCUUAAUUAUCUACUGAAUUUUCAUGAAGCAUAUAUAAGGCUGGUGACGACGAGAUACUAUGUUUUUCCGGUUCAUAUGGUUGGUCGUAUCCAUAGGAUAAGGUUAUACUUUGUCAUAAGGUUUGAUAAUUGAUAAUACAUACUCCUAUUUCUCUACUUUUAUCAUAAGUAAGAGAAAAGACACAUACUAAAAUUUAUUAAAUGCUAGAACUUGCAUACUAAUAUACUGCUCCCUCCAUCCAGAUGCAUACACACACACACCCAUUAUCUAUCAUGCAUUAAUGUGCGUAGACACAUGUACAUAUUAGUACAAAGAUAAUCCAGCCGUUGGAAAGAUCUCAAAUGCGUGUGCACAGACACCCGUUAUCAAUCAUCUACUGAUAUGCACAUGUGUGUUGCUAAUGGCAAAUAUAUAGAAUAUCCAAGCUCCUUUUUUAGGUGAAUUUGAUCAUUGAGAAAAAUAAAUAAAUCCAUGUCAUCUAUCUAAUGUUUUUUAAUGAAAAUAAUGUAAAAAUUAAUAAAAACAUUAUAUUUCGGUGUAACAUAUAUGGUGUGGUGAAGUGAGCAAAGCGGUAUGAUUGUGCGGCAGUGGCUCAGAUACAAUUCUACUAGCGCAUGUGCUUUGUGCAAGUCAUGCAUCAUAUAACAAUGAGAAGUAAUAAGCAAGAAAGUUUGUGGGGCCAACAUGUCAAUAUUUUCCUUUUUUGCAUCCAUGGUUCUAUUAUGCCUUAUUGUUCUACAAUUGUACUAAUUUAUAUGUUCUCAUGUCACACUCCUUUCCACUCCACAAGAAGUCGAAUCCAUAUUAUUCAUUAGAACAUGAACAUGCCGAGUUAAGUCGUGCAAAAGAAUAGAAGAUGAAUUUUGUGUUUGGCCUUCUGCACACGGACAGUAUGUUUGUUCUCAAAGUGUCAUGAUAAUUUAUAGGACGGAAUACUAAUCCAUUUGCGCGAAAUUGAAAUAUCCAGACUUAUAAUGUGCAAAUAUUACUAUCAGGAUUCAUAUAUAUUAGAUGUAUAAGCUACUGUAUAAAUAGGAAAAGUUAUGGACAAAGUCUAUUAUUGAAAACACAGAUUAUUCUCUAAAAGACAGGAGGUAAAGUUUUUCACUAUUAGAAUAACAUAUAUCAUUAGUUCAUGUAUACCAGUUUCUUCAAACUUUGAGCAUCUCCAAUAUUGCCAUAUUGUUUAUUCUCCACCUGAGCUUAUUAGCAAAUUAUAUGACUUUCCAACCUACAUGAGAUAGGCAAGUCGGUAUAUGAGAAGCAAACAAAAUGAAGAUUAAAAAAUAAUACCUUAUUUCACCAAAUUAUUAAAAAAAAUAUUGAUCAUGGUAUAACUAUUCCUAUUUAGAAUAGAUUUUGUGUAUCUAUCAACAUAAUUGACACAAAUAGUAGAAAUUAGAUCGGUAAAUCAUUCAGGAAAACAAUUAAUAGAUAUGAAGGGCCAUAAUCACCGUGUGUGAUGUAAAUAUACACACAUGCACUUCUAAUAGCAUGGUGCAGUUUACAUGCACUUCUCUUCCUGGUGGAUUUAUGUCUUACAUAGUACUAUGUCCCACUCAUAAUGUUUUCGGUAAGUUAUAAUUUUGAUUUCAGGGGAAGACAAACAAUAAUUCAUACUUGCUUCAAAAAAGUUGGCAUUUGUUUUUUCUCAUAACAUUAUAAGUUAUCUGUUAAUACAGUCAAGAUUGAGUAUUUUAUGGUGCCCGUGCGAAUGCACGGGUUGACGACUAGUUGUUAAUAAUGAUGCUUGUGCUACUAACUCUACUUCUUAUGAAGCAUCCAUUUAAAAGGAGAAUGUUGAGCUAAGGGCUCAACUUGAGUUGCUAUCUAGCAAUUAUG